GCUGGGUGUGGUGGUGCAUACCUGUAAUCCCAACUACUCGGGAGGCUGAGGCAGGAGAAUCGCUUGCACCUGGGAGGUGGAGACUGCAGUGAGCCAAGAUCAUGCCACUGCACUCCAGCCUGGGUGACAGAGUAAGACCCUGUCUCAA
Pongo abelii (Sumatran orangutan) is the source of this 148-nucleotide unclassified non-coding RNA. It matches the Rfam family "Metazoan signal recognition particle RNA". From Rfam's summary of the family: The signal recognition particle (SRP) is a universally conserved ribonucleoprotein. It is involved in the co-translational targeting of proteins to membranes. The eukaryotic SRP consists of a 300-nucleotide 7S RNA and six proteins: SRPs 72, 68, 54, 19, 14, and 9. The record is from Ensembl. Lineage: Eukaryota; Metazoa; Chordata; Mammalia; Primates; Hominidae.